RNAcentral lists this ribosomal RNA (511 nucleotides) under uncultured bacterium. RNAcentral's name for it is "bacterial SSU rRNA". It matches the Rfam family "Bacterial small subunit ribosomal RNA", at positions 36 to 518 of the family's 1533-position model. The record is from RNAcentral.
CUGGCGGGCGUGCCUAAUACAUGCAAGUCGAACGGUCUUUUCUAUGGAAGCUUGCUUCCACUGAGAGGAUAGUGGCGAACGGGUGAGUAACACGUGGGUAACCUGCCCAUAAGAGGGGGAUAACAUCCGGAAACGGGUGCUAAUACCGCAUAGUUUUCUUGAUCGCAUGAUUGAGAAAGGAAAGACGGCCUUUGUGCUGUCGCUUAUGGAUGGACCCGCGGCGUAUUAGUUAGUUGGUGAGGUAACGGCUCACCAAGACGAUGAUACGUAGCCGACCUGAGAGGGGGAUCGGCCACAUUGGGACUGAGACACGGCCCAAACUCCUACGGGAGGCAGCAGUAGGGAAUCUUCCGCAAUGGACGAAAGUCUGACGGAGCAACGCCGCGUGAGUGAAGAAGGUUUUCGGAAUCGUAAAACUCUGUUGUCAGAGAAGAACAAGUUGGAGAGUAACUGCUCCAGCCUUGACGGUAUCUGACCAGAAAGCCACGGCUAACUACGUGCCAGCAGCUGC